Oreochromis aureus is the source of this 1693-nucleotide long non-coding RNA. Lineage: Eukaryota; Metazoa; Chordata; Actinopteri; Cichliformes; Cichlidae. The record is from Ensembl.
CAAAUGUCCUCAAACUUGUAAGUACAUUUUAAAUUUCUUUGAACACCUGACUUAAUUUAAUGACUUUGUGAUACUGAAAUUUAUAAUAAUGAGUAAAUCUCAAUUCAGGGUGAAGUCUUUUACCCUGAAAAUACCUUCACACUACACUGUGUGCACAAUUAUUACGCAAGUGAGUAUAUAUAUUUUAUGUACUAAACCACAUCACAGUACUGGACAAGACCUACUUUCAGGAUUUACAGUUUUCGAAACACUGUGAAAUUGAGGCACACAAUGAUGGGACCCGCUGGUAAAGUUUCUGGGCUGCCUUUCAUAACAGCCAUCUCUCAAGAUUUUCUCCACUUAAAGCAAUGCAGGGAUUGUAACAUCUGGUCCGUUUACUGAAUUUUGGCCAUAUCAUAAUUUUUAUGCAUAUUUUCCAACUUCAAGCUGUAUAAACUUAAGUGCUUAUUGGAUUUAAGCAUAUCAGGUGAUGUGUAUUUGGCCUAAGGAGAUUAACACACUAUAUAAAGGUGUGCAUAAUUUUUAGGCAGCUUCUCUUCCUCACUCUUUCAGAGGGAUGCAGCACUCUUGAAAUUGCGACGCUAUUGGGGCCUGACCACAGAACCAUCAAUCGUUUUAUUGCAAAUAGGGUCGCAAGAAACGUUUUGAGAAAAAAAGACUCAAAUUUGCUGCCAAAGAUUUGAGAAGAAUCAAACAUGAAGCUACCAGGAACCCAUUAUCCUCCAGCGCUGCCAUAUUCCAGAACUGCAACCUACCCGGAGUGUCCAGAAGUACAAGGUGUUCAGUGCUCAGAGACAUGGCCAAGUGUCCGAGACACCUCGGAAUUCUGCUGAAGAUAUUAUCUGUGACAACGAAAGAAGCAAGAUGGAUGUGCUGUUUGGUCCAGUGGUGGAGCUCUAACACUGUGAAUGAUCAGACUUACUGAGUCUUUCCACUGAAGCUUCAACUUAUGUCAUUUCUUUGUUGUUUGUAAGUCACAUCAGAAGAGCAUCAGCUGGGUGUGUCACAGUGACAACACACACCAGCAUGUAUCUGUGUGAGGUUGAUGCGGUGUGGGACUAUGUUUAGGAAGUCCACAAAGAAACACAACCUGAUAUUUUAGAAAUGUGUCAUUUUUAUAACCUCUCAAAAUAAAAACAGGAAAUACAUCAGAGCUCUGUCUGAUUUUAGGUGGAUUCAUUUGUUCUGAUGUGAAAAAUGUGCCAUUUUUUAGAAGUACAGAAUAAUUCUUCACACUUUAAAGACAAAUUAAAAGAUAAAGAGGAAAAUAUUAAAUUUAAAAGCCGUGAUGUUGCUUGAGGCUAAAUGGGAUCACUCACUUUGCUCAUUUGGUUCUUUCACAUUUCACUUUCUCUGAAUUCAUCUUAAAAACCUGCUAAUUUUCUCUGCAUAAUUAAAGCUCUAAUUCAUCAUCAUCAUGUUAUAACACUGAAAACAACCUCUGUAAUCUGGUUACACUGGCUACUUUGCUGCUUUUCUGAGAUAAAAUAUGAGAAUCUCUGAAUAUUUACCAACUCUAAAUAUUGGGCACAUUUCUCUGGCUCUGACCGUUUCCUCCUGGCACUGCAGCGUUAGUGUCUAACCUUAGCCACGUUAUUAAGUGUAUACAUUUUUCAUCACUACAUGUUUUCCAUUGGUCUGUCAACAGCAAUAUCCUAGAAAUAAAAUUCUUUUCUUUUUUGCUUUGGUGUAA